UGGUAAUAUUGGUGUUGGCGGAGAAAAUGGAAAAAUUUUUACAAGGCGGAAGCGAUAAAGGCAAAAGUGUAAAGAGCAAUUUGGAGGGGGGCGAAAACCCAGUGAAAAGAAUGGGUAAGUCGAAAGUGUGGAAUCACUUCAAAAGGUCUCAAGAUGGCAAGACAGCCACUUGCAUGCACUGCAAUAGAAUAUACAGAACGAGCGGAAACACGUCCAAUUUGUUUGACCACAUGAAACGGCUCCACCCGGGAAUUUCUAUGGAAGAGCAACAAAAGGGCGCGAAUACGAUUGUACCCUUUUUGUUUAACCAGUAUUAUCGUGUUUCGUCACGUAAAAAAAUUAUUGACAAUGCUUUGGCUGUUCUUGUGGCGGAAGAUAUGCAACCUUUUUCAAUAGUGGAGGAUUCCGGAUUUCGCGAGUUUGUUAGAGUUCUUGAUCCACGAUACACACUUCCUUCGCGAAAGACUCUACAACACGUAUACAUGAAGAAUAUAUAAGAAGACCUGAAAACAAAGCUUUUUACAAUAUUGGACCGCGUUAACAGUUGCGCAAUUACUGCAGACCUUUGGACUUCAAAAGCCAACCAGUCCUAUAUUACUGCCACUUGCCACUUCAUAACAAAAGAUUUCGUUUUGCGCUCAGUUGUAUUGGCAACAAAGCCGUUAUUGGAUGACUCCAAUCAUUCGGCUCUAAACAUUGCUUCUUCAAUGCGUGGCAUUUUUCACGAAUGGAAAAUUUUUGACAAAAUAGCAGCUAUUACAACUGACAACGCAAACUCUAUGAUCAAAGCUUGUGAGUAUUUACAAAAAAGGCAUCUACCCUGUGUUGCUCACACCAUAAACCUGGUUGUGCAAAGCUGUUUGGCGAUCGAUUGCUUACAAGAUAUUUUACUUAAAUGCAAGCGAACUGUCACUUACUUUAAAAGCAGCUCAAUUGCACUAAGUAAGUUUAAAGCAUCGCAAGAAACGGACGUUAAAUACAGCUUGAUACAAGAAGUGCCCACAAGGUGGAACAGUGCGUGUCACAUGAUAGAAAGAAUACUUCUUUCAAAUGAGGCCAUCACGAAGGUUCUUUUAAGUACGUCUAAAGCACCAACACCGUUCACUGCGGACGAAGUCGCAAUAAUGAAAGAUAUUAUCCUGUUACUAUCUCCAUUUGACAACGCUACAAAACAGGUAUCUUCCAGUACUUCAGUUACAGCAUCGCUGAUAGUGCCAAUUGUUUGUGGAUUAUUGCACACUUUAGACAGCUAAAAAUUGAAAUUAAAUUCAUUUGAAGGCAUUGAGGCUCAAAAUUUUUUGGUUGAGCAGGUAAAAAUACGACUUUUGUCGUAUUCGCACCUUUCCAAGAAUGUUAACACUACUUGAUCCAAGAUUUAAAAAGCAAGGGUUUCGUUCACCUUUUAACGCUGAUGACGGCCUUCAUGCCUUAGAAAACGAGUUAGCUGCCUUAAAGAAAGUUUUGCCAUUGGAUCCGCCAACACCAAUAGAAAAUGAAUCAGACUGCCAGCAGCCACUUUUUGAAUUUAUAACUCAAAGUAUUUCUACAAUGGGGAGGACAAACCGUGUUGAUGCCAUUGUCGAACUACAGCAGUACAUGCGAGCGGCACAUAAACCUUAGAAAACUGACCCAUUGGAGUUUUGGAAGUGCGCUUCAGAUGAUUCUCUUCUUAAAACUACAGCUGCACGCCUUUUUUGUGUUCAAGCAUCAUCGACUGAGUCUGAGAGGAUUUUUAGACAACGGGACAAAUUAUUUCUGCCAGGAGAGCAUCAUUGAAAGCCAAAAACGUGGAUAUAUUAUCCUUUCUCAAUAAAAUUAUGUGGAUCUCAAACUUUUCAAUAGAAAACUUAAAUGAAUAGCAUUGAACUAUUAACCUAUUCAUAAGAAACUUUUGUGAAAUAUUUCAGUUUUUCUUUUAGUAUAAGCGUGUAAAUAUGUGUUG
This is a long non-coding RNA of Drosophila ficusphila, 1942 nucleotides long. RefSeq lists it as uncharacterized. The transcript has 3 exons. The record is from RefSeq and is a predicted model, not a curated record. NCBI's taxonomy places the organism in Eukaryota, Metazoa, Arthropoda, Insecta, Diptera, Drosophilidae.